GGGGUUAUGGCUCAGCGGUGGAGCGCUCGCCUAGUACGUGUGAGGUACUGGGUUCAACUCUCACCACCCCA
RNAcentral lists this transfer RNA (71 nucleotides) under Ictidomys tridecemlineatus (thirteen-lined ground squirrel). RNAcentral's name for it is "Spermophilus tridecemlineatus (thirteen-lined ground squirrel) tRNA". It matches the Rfam family "tRNA". Rfam says of the family: Transfer RNA (tRNA) molecules are approximately 80 nucleotides in length. Their secondary structure includes four short double-helical elements and three loops (D, anti-codon, and T loops). The record is from Rfam by way of RNAcentral. Lineage: Eukaryota; Metazoa; Chordata; Mammalia; Rodentia; Sciuridae.